RNAcentral lists this ribosomal RNA (484 nucleotides) under uncultured bacterium. Its description in RNAcentral is "partial 16S ribosomal RNA". It matches the Rfam family "Bacterial small subunit ribosomal RNA", at positions 30 to 507 of the family's 1533-position model. The record is from RNAcentral.
AUUGAACGCUGGCGGCAGGCCUAACACAUGCAAGUCGAGCGGAUGAAGGGAGCUUGCUCCUGGAUUCAGCGGCGGACGGGCGAGUAAUGCCUAGGAAUCUGCCUGGUAGUGGGGGAUAACGUCCGGAGACGGGCGCUAAUACCGCAUACGUCCUGAGGGAGCAAGUGGGGGAUCUUCGGACCUCACGCUCUCAGAUGAGCCUAGGUCGGAUUAGCUAGUUGGUGGGGUAAAGGCCUACCAAGGCGACGAUCCGUAACUGGUCUGAGAGGAUGAUCAGUCACACGGGAACUGAGACACGGUCCAGACGCCUACGGGAGGCAGCAGUGGGGAAUAUUGGACAAUGGGCGAAAGCCUGAUCCAGCCAUGCCGCGUGUGUGAAGAAGGUCUUCGGAUUGUAAAGCACUUUAAGUUGGGAGGAAGGGCAGUAAGUUAAUACCUUGCUGUUUUGACGUUACCAACAGAAUAAGCACCGGCUAACUUCGUG